Molecule: transfer RNA, 75 nt
Filed under: Escherichia coli
Lineage: Bacteria; Pseudomonadati; Pseudomonadota; Gammaproteobacteria; Enterobacterales; Enterobacteriaceae
Also listed under: 4 other names
Description: tRNA-Gln
Rfam family: tRNA
About the family: Transfer RNA (tRNA) molecules are approximately 80 nucleotides in length. Their secondary structure includes four short double-helical elements and three loops (D, anti-codon, and T loops).
Source: RNAcentral
UGGGGUAUCGCCAAGCGGUAAGGCACCGGUUUUUGAUACCGGCAUUCCCAGGUUCGAAUCCAGGUACCCCAGCCA